Melospiza melodia melodia is the source of this 10222-nucleotide long non-coding RNA. RefSeq lists it as uncharacterized. NCBI's taxonomy places the organism in Eukaryota, Metazoa, Chordata, Aves, Passeriformes, Passerellidae. The record is from RefSeq and is a predicted model, not a curated record. The transcript has 6 exons.
AAAAUUACUUGUUCUCCACCCCCAUUUCAGCACUGUUAUAUCCACGCUCUUCAACCCCAACUAGCUGAAACAACUCUAAUCACCUAUUUUUACUGUUUGAGUUAGGCAGUGUUCACAGGACUCAUUUUGCCAGAAGAGCUGAAAUGCCUGCAGAAGGGAAAAAGGGAAAGGGAUACAAACUCAGAGCUGCAAAAUAGCAGCUGAACAUGAUAUUAUCAUCAGCUGGCAGAGGUGGCUGCACACUGAGCAUCUGUCUAUAGCCUAAAAUGACUGUUUUGUUCGGGGAUUUGUUUGUUUGUUGGUUGGAGUUUUGGUUUGUUACACUGCAGGAUCACUCCUAACUGCUAAUACAAUUAAGAAAGAAACUUCAGAAAAAGAUCACUAAGUCCUGUGGUUUUUAAUUCCCCAUUGGGUUUCAGGAAGAAGUAGUUUGUGGCAAACAAGGAAGACAAACCUGAAUCCUUUGCUGCAUCCUUCCUCCUGUUUAAGAAGAUUUGUGAUUCUACAUCUAAAUCCAAGAACUUUCCACGUGGCCCUGAGGCACCAGCCUGACAAUCCCUGUCAGAUGAUUUAGGGUUUUCAAUGGAUUUUGGUGCAUCAGCUGAACUCCCCAGGCUGUGUGCAGAACCAGAUCAUCAAAAAGAAAUCCCUGCUGCUGCAGACAUGCUGAAAGCCAGCUGAAAGCACAGGGAGAAGAAGAGAAGAAGGUAUGGGUGGAAAUCCAGCAGAGGGAACAGUUAUUGGAAGAAAGCAAAAGCAGAGAUAAUGCCUCUUGCUCUUGCUCAGGAAGUUUUAAAUUGAAAUUUGCUGAAGACUGACAGUGUUUUGGGGAACUAUUACUCAUGCUUAUACUAUCUUACACUCUUUGUUAAAAUUUUACUCCUGCUCACCAUCAGAAACACUCCAUUGCACUGCAAAUGCCUUUAGUCUGAUUCUUUAUGGCUUUUCUUACCAUAACUAAUAGUUUCUUACUGAAUCUCUCCCAGUCUGAGUGCGUUACUCUUGCAGGAGUUUAACUAGCAUGGCAGUCAGUAUUCCAGGUGAGUUUUCAGGGGGUCUAGCACUAUUAAAUUCUUUGCUCUUCCCCAGUGAAAAUAUCUUCCCUGACACAACACAGGCUUAUGUUUGACUCAUGAUUUCCCUGAUCACCUGCCAUGUCCAUGUCCUCUUUCUCCCAUCAAGUCACAUCCCCAGCUAUUUCAGAAUGGCCAAAACCAGGUGAGUUUGCAUUUUGAACAGUUGAACUUCAUCCCACUGCUGCUUCUCCAGCACUUGUGAUCACUUUGAUUUCCUUGUGUGAUAUUUCCACCUGCUUUGAACACCUGCCACCCUUGUAUGAUCAGAUGUUUGUUAAUUUGUAAAACUCUCUGGCAGCACCCUCAUGGGGUACUGGGGGAUGGAGUGUCACCAUCCCUCACACCCCCUGCCACCCUCAGACUCAACAUAGCCAACAGUCAAAGCUCUGUUUUGUUGCAAAAUUAAAAUUAGUCAAAAACUAAAGCCUGUGAUGGCAACAUCCAGGUUUCCUUGAAGAAUAUAGUAGAAGUAAUUGCUCUGAUCUGGGAAGUCCCAGCCUAUAAAAAUAAAGCUGGUAUUUGUAACCUAGAGUUCCUAAGUCAGAUGGAAAUUCUAUUUCUGUCUGUUUGUUCCUCUGUAUUUUUUGUUUGAAACUUUACGCUUUGCUAAUUUAGUCUUAGCAAAGGUCAAUUGUUGGAACCUCAGAUUUUCGUAGGCUACAAAACUCAUUUCACACCUGAUUUUACUACUUCCUAAACAAGCUGAAGCAGGAUUUUUCAUAACAGUACAUAUAAAGAUGCCUUAUAAAAACCAAAGCAACUCUGGCUUCUUUUAUAGCAUUUGUAUUAUUUUUAAAGCACCCUCUACUUACCUUUCCAGUUAAUUUCUAAUCUAUUUUUUAAUCUAUAACCCUAAUAAACUUCUAACUUUACCCAUAUUUUCCCUUUGUGUCCUUCAAAACUAUCAUUAUCCACAUGCCUGAGUUACUUUUUUGUUCAAAAGAAUUCAUCAGAAAAUGGCAAGUUAAGUCUAAUCAGUCAGUCUUUGCUCCCUCAAAGGCCUCCAGCUGUUGUUAAGUAAUAUCCCUUGUCACACUUUAGAUAGCCCAACAGGCCAGGGAAAAAAACCAAAAAAUACUUGUUAUAACUACAAUGAUAAACAAAAUCUGCUCUGAAGCUCCUCUAAUUGCCUUCAGAGUCCAACACAGCCCUUGGAUUGACCUCCUUCUGGGGAAACAUAACAGCCAGAGUAAUUAUUAAAGUAUCAACCCAGACUUAAAUCCAAACACAGAUUUCCAGCUGAACAUUAAAUAACACUCGGUCUUUGAAAAAUUGGGCGCUACAGUCUUCAAUCAGCUUCUGUCCCUCACCAGCUUCCCAGCACCAGGGAAAUAAAGGACAGGAAUUUCCUGGACACAUGAUGUCAGCAGCUGGAGCACUGACCUGCGCUUGCAGAGGCUGCUGCCCUACCAGGCAGGGUACUGGCAUUAAGGUUUUAAAACUGUUGUCACUCACAGGAGUUCAAAGACUUUUCUUUUAUUCCCAUGGAGGUUUCUUUUACAGUGGGCUUUGCCUGCCAUUUAAAUGUUUUCACUUUGGAUUUAUUGCUUAUUUUAUCCGGUCUGCAGACGAGGUUUGUUUUGGGUUUUUGGGGGUUUUUUUGCAAUGUGAGUUGCUAAGCUUGUUAAAGCAGCCACAAGAUGUUGUGCUGCAUUUUAUCCCAGAAAAAUGUAAAAUGUGUGAUAUUUCAGCUAUGGUAGGGUUGGUAAUAAGGAUACCAUAAAUUUAAAAAGAUGAGCAUUAAUUUUAGACUUCAUGCGAUCCUUUGAGGAAGCUCUACUAAACGGAAAGCACCAUCUCCUGCUUCAAUCAGACAUAUUAAAUAUUCCUUCUCUUUUGAAAUCAAUUUAAUAAUUAGAUACGCUAAAGGAUCAAACUGCAAGUUGCAGUGUCCCAUAACCCUUUGCCAUUACCAGCUGUUCCUUACAGACACUGGUCCUGGGAUGAGCAUUCAGGAGGGGCUGAGAUCAGGGGAACACGCCUGAUGGUUUCUUCCUUGCUUCCUACCACAGCUCACUCAUUCUGCAGCCUCAGAAGAGGCUCUGAGACACCACUCUGUACUUUCUGUCUCUCAGACCAGCUCAAUCACCUCACCCAAGUAUGAGAAGCUUUCCUAAAGAGGAGCCUUAUUCAAGGCAAAGAUUACAAGCACCCCAAGUUAGUUCCCUUUUCCACUGAUCACUGAGACUUUUGGAGCCAGGGGAGCAUUGCCUCCAUUUCCUAAGCUUUUGACUGACAUCUCAGCCUGGAAAUAACUGCAUUCAUCCAGGUGAAAUUUGCUGCAAGCACAGAUGUAUGGGCACAUGGACGUGUCUGCCCAGCAGCCAGGGAUGGUGUGCAGCCUCAGCUUCUCUGUGCAAUGCUUGUCUCUGCACAGACCUGGUCAAGGAAACAAUCACCCCUUUCCUCAGUGACCAAGACCUCCGUAGAGGCUGUGAGAGAGAAAAUUCUCUGCUCAAUCCCAUGCUUCUGCAAGGGAGCUGCCUUCAAAUAAAUAAACACAUUGCUGCUGCUGAGCUCUAUUCUGCAGACAGUUUUGGGCUGAAAAUCUGUUUAGAGUUUCCCAUACUGAUUCUGGGUGUUAUCUAGAUGGAGGGGAGACACAGGGGGAUCCCAUGUUUACACACAGGAGGACAGUGUUGGCCUUUCUGAUACAGUCUAACUGCUUGAGAUUUUUAAAGCAAUUGAUACUAUUCUUAAAUGAACAAAUAAAUGGAAGGAAUAUAGUUCUGAGCUUUCUUAUAGAUGAGAGAGAGAAAAAAAAGUGUUCUUCAGAAAUGUCACACUAUAUUCAAUCACAUUUAAGAACAGGAAACCAGCCUGGCCUCCUCACCUACACCUGAACAUGUGUACACAGCUCCUGUUGAACAAGCUUUUAAACCUAGACAGAAUAACAACCGUGAAUUCAGGAGAACAACUAUUUCUAUUAAUCACUGUAAUAAAAAAACCUGCAAAAUUGGCAACACAGCUUCACUCAAAUGCCUCCUCAAUGCUCACUGGCAACACCACCCCCAGUAUUACUCAGACAUCAUAAUUUUAUCAUUGCAGUGUCUCUUAAACUCUUCUUAUUGCCUCAUAGAGGAAACUAAUGAAUCAAAGUAUGAAUGUUCUUGAAACCUAUCUUUUAAAAGAAAUAUUAGCUCAGAAGGUACUGGUGGCCUUCUUUGGCCUAGAAGUAUACUCCUGUUUGGAAAAAUAUAAAAGCUGAAUAUCAUAAAUAAGCUUUUAAUUUGUGUUUAAUGGAGGCCAUCGUUUUGGGCUGCUGUAUUCAACUAUUAAAGAGAAACUUACAGAGAUUUUAAACAGGAUCCAUUCUGCUGUCACAUGGUUAAUAAAAAUGAAUAAUUAUUUGCUUAUCAAAUAAAUGUUGUGGUGAAUUGGCACAUAACAAGGUGAUUGGCAGUUCCAUUCAAAGACGAAUUUGGAUUCUAAUAAAAACUUUAAUUUAUGAACCACCAGUGAUGGAUGGCUAAUCCAGAAAUGCAGUCUUGGUCACUGCACAUGAAGCAAGUAAAUUCACAUUUGAAGGUAAGUUCUGAAACCUGAAUCCUGAGCACUUUCCUUGCAAAUCCCCUUGCCUAACACAUAAAACUAAAAUGAAAUGCAUGAAGUCCAGCUUGUUGAAGGACUAAGCAUAUUCAAUCAGUUCUAAUUUGAGCUACCAUUUACAUCAAUCAGUCUUCUGGAAGGAAACUAGUUUGGAGUCACCUUCCUCAUCCUUGUUGUUCCUUAAAGGAUUCUUUUAAUUCAAGGGAAAUUUCAUGGAUUUCAAUAGUAAUGCCACUAGAGCUGCUAUUAUCUCUCUGAGCAGUAAUACAAGCAAAUACAGCCACUGCAAAAAUAGAAAAAUAAUUCCUACAUCCAUCUCAUGCUUGUUAAAUCUCAUCGUGGCAUGCUGUGAUUAAUCUCUUGCAGAGAGUUUUUUAAUUCUCAUUUAAGGAUAAAUAUCUGCAUUUCUUCAUCGUAAAUAAAUAAGCUUUUGCACCACCUCACUUGUGACAGAAAUUAAAAGUCAGCCAUGAAUUGAUAACAGUUAGUUUUGUUCCUCUAUGGAUCAAACAUUUCAGAAACCCUAUCACAGAAGAGUUGACCAUUCUUCUCACUCUGUAUUUUUGUUUGAUAGUUAAAUUUAUGUACAUAUUAGUUUUCAAUGGCUUUUGAUCACAUUUUAAGGACUAGGUCUAAAGCUGUUUCUGUGCAUACAGGUCUUGAUAUCUGGGAUGUGUUUUUUAAUAAAUAUCUUCCUGCAAGUAGCCUGCCAUCCUCAUCUAUUACUGCUUUUGAGUAGAAAGCAUGCAGUUUGCUUGAGUUCCUACAUGCAGUCCCCUCAAAUGAGUGUUUCAAGCAAAAAGGCAGAGGAGAGGAGUGCAGCUAGAGAGAUGAACUCAUUUUUGCUGUUGUGGUAUCCAGAAAAGUGCACUGGGCUGAUAUAAGGACAAUGGUUACUAUUGUUGUCUGUGUCUUAUUACUAAUCAUGCACUCUUUGUUUAAGAAAAGGAAAGUAAAAUUUUCUUUCAUCUUCCGCUCCUUCCUACUUAACUCCCACAUGUCACUAAUAAAGUACAAUAUUGCACAGUAUUACUCCAGUGGUAAAACUCCUAUUUCCCUUCUCCUAGCCCCAUGUUUUGCUGCAGCUGUGCUGCUCUCCCUAAUGAACCUGCCAGAAUCUCUGGGAUUCUCUCUGCUGUCUCUAAUUCCUGAUUGUUUGACCUCAGAGCUGAGUGAUGAAGGUUCUAUCCUGACACCAGCCUACAAGAGGCUCUUCCAAGGAGCUCUUUAAAGUAACUUGAGCCACUGCGCCAUCAGCAGGAUGGCUGUGGGCAAUGAAUGAAUGCUACAAAAUGCUGGCCCUGGUUUCCAUUUCAGGGCCAUGGGGGAAGCCUGGGGUGAUGGAUGGGGGACAGGAGCAGCUGAGCAGCCUGGGUGAUUCUGCAGGGGCACCAAAUGACAGAGAGGAGAAUACUCCCUGAGAAAUGAAGCACAGCCCACCCAGAGGGGUCUGCAGGAGGGAGGUCUCAGAGGCUCUGCUGCAUCUCCCUCUCUGGUUCAGCAGUGGCACACAGGAACAAAGUCACUGUGGCAGUCCUAACUUGUCCCAACUAGUCCCAACCCUACUGAGAAGGAAUUAGGAGCUGUUCUGGUGGCUGCAUGGUGGCCCAGUACAGGAGGUCAUUUGACAGGUGGUUUCUCUGCCAUCUUCAAAUUUGUGGCACUAAACAUGGCACUGAGUUUUCUUGGGAAUCUCAAAGAGGAAGAAAAAUGAAACUUCUGCCUCCUAUCAGUUUCCCUAACUCCCCCUUCCGUGAAAAAGCCCUUUCUGAGCUGUGGGUGCAGCAUCCUUGGAGCCAUCAGAAAGUUUUGCUAAAUGAAGGACUUUAACAAAGGACUUUGUCAGGUAGUCCCACCAGGCAGAAUAUUUUCUGUAAGGGACAUGGUGGUUGGGAAUGCCACAAACACUGCACAGGAGCUGUGCACUUUGCCCAGGCAGGACCAGACAGGGGCUCUGCUCUGCUCUGAGCUUUUGCCAGCCCAGGUGAGAAUUUGCUCCUGGGUGCUGGAUGACUCUGCUGACGCCACCAUCAAUUCAGGAAGGGAUUGCAGUUUUAGUGAGAUUCCUGCUGGAUGUUUGGUAAAGCACCAUCCACAGCAUUGCACAGCUUAGGGAAAUCUUUUCUCUGGAUCACAGUCUCACUUAUAUAUUAUUAAUUUUUUUUUCCAGAGGAUAAAACAAAAGUAUCAUCAUUUGCUGUGAAAAAAUAUAGGUUAGAAAUGUGUCUUGGGGUUUGUUUUUUAUUUCAUGCUAUUUCUCUUCCCUUUUAACAUCUAGGAGAAAGAGUAGUCAUGUGAGUUCAGCUCCUCUGCUCUCCUGUAAUCUACCCUUUGAUGUAACUAACUGGCAAAACAUAUUUCUAAUCAAAUAUAGUUUCUCAUCCUUAAUCAGCUCAGCUUUAAAAUGCAGAUCAAUGAGAUAAGAAAGAGCUGAUUUAAUUAGCCCAACCUCAGCAAUGUUACAGCAUAUUCUCAUUUACAGAAAUAAUGGGGAGCAAGAGGAAAGAGAUUCAUCAUCAUGAAAAGACUGGAGAAGGCAGAGGAAAGCAGGAUAUUUCCUAUGUUAGCUAAGGGUGAUUUUCAUUCAGGCUAAAGAGCCAGCACAUGUUUUAUGAGCCAUUUAAAUAACACUUAGGUCUUGUGCUUCGUCCUUUAGCCUGAGGAUGAAUUUCCUUCACUAAGCAGCAAUACCUUUGGAAGUCAUCACUUCUGGGUUUAAUUGAUGAGCCAGAGACAGCUUCCACUACUUGGUGAAUAAAGAAGAGGAAAUAUGGCAGGCAGGAGCAUGGCAAUAAUGCACAUUUAUGGAGCAGCUUGGGAACACUCUCCCACCAGAGUGCCAGGCCAGGCACUCUCACUGGAGAGGCUUUAAUGGGAACAGCACAGGCUGUGCUCCCUCACCCUGCUGCUGCCUCUUGAGUGGCCACAGGCAGGUCACCUCACCUCUGCAUUUCUGGGGGUGUGUUUUGUUUUUCUUUGCUUCAUUCCUCUGUCCCACUAGGAUUUGGAAUUUCCUGCAGAGUAAAUCUCUUCCUUCCCCCACAGCACAGGUCUCCCCACAAGGCAGGACGGUGGCACACUUGGAGCUCUGUGGGAUUGCUCUGCAGCUGCUCAAAAAGCAAAACCAGUGCAAGUUCUCAGCUUGCUCUUCCUGCUUGGUGAUUUUAAAGCAGUAGAACACUACCUUACCUCCAGCAGCCCUGUCUAACCUGAGUCCAAAUGCUCCUCCAUCUCCCUGGAGCAGGGGACUCACUGAAUCAGGUCAGCCCAGGUUUGGUCAAUGCAAGCAGAGAAGUGCUGCCUCCUCCACAAAGAGCACCCAGAACAUUUCCAUGGCCACACCACUCCUGUAGAGGCCUCAAUAAAAGGAAAAUCAGACCUGUCAAUGUCUAACAAGACUUUUCAGAUAGCCUCCAGCUGUGGAAUUGAGCUCAUAACCUGAACCUUUGGUGAGGUACACCUUGACAUUUGUGCUGUUACAAAGUCAGGCCAAAUCCACACAAAUGAGGAUAUGCCAGCUCCUAAUUUGAGUUCUGGGAAUGAAGUUUGUCUUCGUUUGUGCCCAUCCAUCAUUUCAAAUGGAGCUAUCUUGUGACAGCCACAUUUGGUAGUCUCUGCCUGGGAGAUAAUUGCUCAUCACUGAGGGGAACUCACACAGCUGAGAUAACCCUCAGGCACUUUCUCUGCAGGGAUGGGAGCACCAGAGGCAAAGCAAUUAACAGAGCAAUUAAGCCACUAGCCAAUCAUAUCUCUUUUAUUUUCCCUCAUCUCAGAUUUGUGCCACUCUCCAGUGCCUCUAAAAACAAGCAAGGAAAGGCCCUGCUCUCCAGAGGGAUAAUUCCCUAAUUCCCUCAGGUGGGCUGGGAUUCAGCUCUAAACCCCAUUCCUGACCCUUACUCAUCAUCAUUCUGGGCUUGUGGGACAUGGUUUGGCUCCUGCAGACAGAAACAGUGGCUAUUUCCUUUCCUGAGAGCCAAGAGACAGCAGUGGUCACUUAGAGCUCUUCCCUAUAUCCUGCUCCUUCCCUCCCCCAGGCUUGUUCUCCAGGCAAUAAAUCAGUCUUUUCAGAAGUAUUAGAUCAGGUAUCCAGACUCUGUGGUUUCAUGAGAAAGUUUUGCAGAAAAGAUAUUGGGACAGUCUCACAUGCACAAGAGUUGAUAAACUGCAUCCAUAGGUGAUGGCAUUUACCUUUGGGGGAAUGUAAAAACACAAGAACAGAGAGGAGAGAGACAUGAGAAGGAGAAAAUUCUGUCACAGUCAGGCCCUCCCAGGUCCUCAAGAGUGUUCCUCCCCCAUCUCCCUGUCCCAACCUUUCCUUGGACUGCAGCCCUUUGGGAACAGCUGCUCCUGCUGGGGCUCUCCACAGCCACAAAUCCUGCAGGAAACUGGGCUGCGGAGCUCCAAGUGAUGCAAAGGGCCAGAGCUCCCUGGCUCCAUGGAGUUUGGCAGUGUCGUAGUACCCUAGGUUACAAUAUUAAGAUAUACUCUAUUCCCAUCCUGAAGAGCUGCUGAAACCAGGAGGGGCAUUGUUUCUUCCUUAUCUCCUGUUAAUGAGCCCAUCAAUGCCUUGACUCAGAGAUAACUCCCUCCAGGAGCCAUUUCUGUUUAAUGGACCCACCUCAUGACUCAUGGAAUAAUAUCAGCCAAUAUGCUCUGCCUAGGAGGAAGGAGCUAAGCAUCCCCACCUGGAUAUAAUCUGGGGUUUGGGGCAGCACAAGCAGUCUUUCUACUGGCUUCUCAGAGGAAUGGCUUCUUUUCCACUAUAUCCGCAGAGGAAGACUACACCCUUUCUACAGGAUCCCUGCUCCAACAGAACCAAAUCUGCCACUCUGGGAGGACUGGAGACACCAAUCCAACUGGAGUGCUACCAACACGCUGACCAACAGGGUGUCAGCUCGUCUGAGAAAAGAACAGGAGGACAAAACAUUCUUACAACUGCCUGUGAACCUAUACACUGAGAGUGUCUUGUGGGAAGUCUGCUGUGGAUUUCUGGUCUCUGGGACAUGUGGUCUGUGAGGCUGACUGCAUUUAGGAUACAACACCUUGUAGAGGAAGGGCUGUGAUUUGGUGUAAAAAUCGUUCAGGCAUAAGAGGAGAGAAAGAAGUUGUAAAGUUAAAGCAAGAUCCUCAAGAGGCAUCAGAACUGCCAGUGUCUAUGAGUUCAGUGUGUACCCUCUUUUCUCAGAACAUUUGCUUUGGGCAAAACUAUAAUAAUAAUAAUUCAUCAACUGAAGUAGGGGCUGUAGUUUGGUUUUGAAUCCUGCUCUCCUGGUACCAGCAGCAUUUUCACAAGGGCUGAAGCUCUUGUGGCUGUUCUCAUCCAACUUGGUCGAGCAGACUAAAAGGAAAAGAAAUGCAGCUAAAUUCUGAGGGAUCAGGUUCUACCCACUUCUAACAUAUUAUGCAACUUUUCAUCCUUUGAGUUGUCUUAUUGAUUUCAGUGGAAGAAUUUGUUAUUGCAGAAUGUGAAUAAGAUGCCAGAAUUUCACCCUAAAUAUUUCACUUUACAAAGGAAGCCAUGAUGCAGAAGAAAACACACCCUGAGCUGCAGCAGGACACAAAAUUUGCAGUUACAAUAAAAGCUGGGAAGCCUUUUU